Molecule: unclassified non-coding RNA, 180 nt
Filed under: fungal sp.
Lineage: Eukaryota; Fungi
Description: partial internal transcribed spacer region
Rfam family: Eukaryotic small subunit ribosomal RNA (bases 1-46)
Source: RNAcentral
AAGUCGUAACAAGGUUUCCGUAGGUGAACCUGCGGAAGGAUCAUUACUGAUUUGGCGGACCGAGCGUCAGCGAGGUUCCGCGAUCACUUGUAUUUAAAACCCACACUUUGAAUGUAAUAUGUAUAUUUUUGUAUUUUUAAUAAUAAAAGAUCACUUUCAACAACGGAUCUCUUGGCUCUC